GUAGUAGCCCGCUCUUUUAAUUAUGAUUAAAACUAGUAAAUGCAAUUUUUAUAAAUGAAUCCAGUUUAUAGUUCUGAUUUUUUUUAUCAGAGAUGGAGUAAUAUUUUAGCUUUAUACUUUUAUAACGUAUGAGAAAAACGCGACAAAGAUUAUUGAGCCAUUCAAUAAUUAUUAUUUCCAAGUUGUAACUGACUUAGCAAAGUCAUGUUAUUUAUUAAUCGAGAAACAGAAGCAGUUAUAUUUAUUAGUGC
This 251-nucleotide long non-coding RNA is filed under the name Salvia miltiorrhiza (redroot sage). Its description in RNAcentral is "long non-coding RNA (SMIL_LNC013227)". Lineage: Eukaryota; Viridiplantae; Streptophyta; Magnoliopsida; Lamiales; Lamiaceae. The record is from RNAcentral.